UCCUUAGAUGUUCUGGGCCGCACGCGCGCUACACUGACGAAUGCAACGAGCUUAUAACCUUGGCCGAAAGGUCUGGGUAAUCUCCAAAUUUCGUCGUGAUGGGGAUAGAUUAUUGCAAUUAUUAAUCUUCAACGAGGAAUGCCUAGUAAGCGCAAGUCAUCAGCUUGCGUUGAUUACGUCCCUGCCCUUUGUACACACCGCCCGUCGCUCCUACCGAUUGAAUGGUCCGGUGAAGCGCUCGGACCGCGGCCUCUUGACGGUUCGCUGUCGAUUGGCUGUGGGAAGUUCGUUAAACCUUAUCAUUUAGAGGAAGGAGAAGUCGUAACA
This 327-nucleotide ribosomal RNA is filed under the name uncultured eukaryote. RNAcentral's name for it is "partial 18S ribosomal RNA". It matches the Rfam family "Eukaryotic small subunit ribosomal RNA", at positions 1470 to 1796 of the family's 1831-position model. The record is from RNAcentral.